RNAcentral lists this ribosomal RNA (447 nucleotides) under uncultured bacterium. RNAcentral's name for it is "bacterial SSU rRNA". It matches the Rfam family "Bacterial small subunit ribosomal RNA", at positions 355 to 825 of the family's 1533-position model. The record is from RNAcentral.
UGGGGAAUAUUGGACAAUGGGCGCAAGCCUGAUCCAGCCAUGCCGCGUGAACGAUGAAGGCCUUAGGGUUGUAAAGUUCUUUUGUCAGGGAAGAUAAUGACGGUACCUGGUGAAUAAGCCACGGCUAACUACGUGCCAGCAGCCGCGGUAAUACGUAGGUGGCAAGCGUUGUCCGGAUUUAUUGGGUUUAAAGGGUGCGUAGGUGGCCCUGUAAGUCAGUGGUGAAAUAUCUCAGCUUAACUGAGAGGGUGCCAUUGAUACUGCAGGGCUUGAGUACAGAUGAGGUAGGCGGAAUUGACGGUGUAGCGGUGAAAUGCAUAGAUAUCGUCAAGAACACCGAUAGCGAAGGCAGCUUACUAGACUGUAACUGACGCUGAGGCACGAAAGUGUGGGGAUCAAACAGGAUUAGAUACCCCCGUAGUCCCUGAGCGGGCUGGCAAGGCGCAU